Molecule: ribosomal RNA, 497 nt
Filed under: uncultured bacterium
Lineage: Bacteria
Description: partial 16S ribosomal RNA
Rfam family: Bacterial small subunit ribosomal RNA
Source: RNAcentral
GAUGAACGCUGGCGGCGUGCCUAAUACAUGCAAGUCGAGCGAACGGACGAGAAGCUUGCUUCUCUGAUGUUAGCGGCGGACGGGUGAGUAACACGUGGAUAACCUACCUAUAAGACUGGGAUAACUUCGGGAAACCGGAGCUAAUACCGGAUAAUAUUUUGAACCGCAUGGUUCAAAAGUGAAAGACGGUCUUGCUGUCACUUAUAUAUGGAUCCGCGCUGCAUUAGCUAGUUGGUAAGGUAACGGCUUACCAAGGCAACGAUGCAUAGCCGACCUGAGAGGGUGAUCGGACACACUGGAAUUGAGACACGGUCCAGACUACUACGGGAGGCAGCAGUAGGGAAUCUUCCGAAAUGGGCGAAAGCCUGACGGAGCAAAGCCGCGUGAGUGAUGAAGGUCUUCGGAUCGUAAAACUCUGUUAUUAGGGAAGAACAGAUGUGUAAGUAACUGUGCACAUCUUGACGGUACCUAAUCAGAAAGCCACGGCUAACUACGUG